Molecule: non-coding RNA, 401 nt
Organism: Odocoileus virginianus texanus
Lineage: Eukaryota; Metazoa; Chordata; Mammalia; Artiodactyla; Cervidae
Source: RefSeq, a predicted model, not a curated record
CGCGGGCAGCAGCAGUCGGCAGGGGCGUCCCCGACCGGCUCACUGCCACUUCCCCUGGCCCGACUCCGGCCUCCAGAGCUAGCCUCGCCCUCAUUCCUUCCCUUUUGUCCCCAACUCCUGUUUUUUUGGACUUCUCUCUCUCUCUGCCCUAGCCCCAGUGUUCAGGAUCUCAGUGACUAUCCCAGGUACCUUUGCUGCUGAUUUGGGUGUCUUGUUUAAAAGAAGAUUGGGUGGGUGGGAGUCUCUUGGAGAGCUGAGGUUGAGGCCUGGGGAGCACGCCCAGGUCUUGGAGUCUCGGUUCCUCUUCACAGUGUUUGUGGGUUAUCUCCCCUUCCAUCCCUCACCUCUUUUUUUUUUUUUCCUUUUUUUAAAAAGAACAGAAUAAAGUCAAGUAGACAACA